Molecule: long non-coding RNA, 1144 nt
Organism: Tyto alba (common barn owl)
Lineage: Eukaryota; Metazoa; Chordata; Aves; Strigiformes; Tytonidae
Exons: 2
Source: RefSeq, a predicted model, not a curated record
CAGACAGUCAUCUGAUCUGGGUUACUGCAUAAGGUGUGCUUAUCUUCCAAAAAUCCACAAUUUGAAGGGUUUUUGUUGAAACUAUUUGUCAGCAUGCAUCCUGAUCUUUCAGCAGGGUCAGGACGUGUGGAUUCACCCACAUACAGAGACCUCAGUGUGCACACAGGGCGACUGAAGGACCAGCGUCACAACAAGCAAGGCCAAAAUGGAAAUGAGCAUUGCAUGCUAGUUUUCAGGUAGCAUGAAUUAGCAAAAGAAAAAAUAAAAGCAAACAAAAAAAGAUAGAUGAUGUCAUGAAAAUGACACCAAGUAUAAAGAGAAAAGAGCUUUUUUAACUCUCAACUGUGUGAUAAUUAAACUAAGGUGGUGGUGUCAUUUUAACGUCACCAAUAAAUACAUUUAAACUGCAUUGUUAUUUUGCCAGCAAAAAUAACUCACAGAACUUAUUUCCACAUCCCUUAUUUAUCUGGGUGGAGAGGGACCAGGAGAAAGGGGAAUCCAUUAAUUGUGUGGGGAAAAAAAAAGAAAAAAAAAAAGAAAAAAAAAAAGAAAAAAAAAAGAAAAAAAAAAAGAAAAAAAAAAAAAAAGAAAGAUUGUAGGAUUUAAAGUUGCAGCAUCCAAAACCUUGUCAGGACUAAUUUUACAUUGUUUAAUAAAAGCAAUAACCACCAGUACAUAGUAAAGACAGAAUCACAAUUAGGAUAUAGGAGAGAGCAAGGGUAAAACCAUGGAAAGGUCACAGCUGAAAUGCUGUCACGUUUUUUUAGACCCUCCGAUUUAACAAGUAAAUGAAGGUCCAUUCCAGCCCACUGUAUUCAGGGGUAAUUACUCAGUACAGAGCCAUGGGUUACUGUAAAAGAAGGGCAAAGAAAACAAAAAACGAAGUAAAUGUUAACCAGAAUUCACUGUCUGAUGAAGUCUUUAUUUAAAAACAAAACUCAUCCAGAAAUACACAGAGAAGACACCUGUGGGCAAACCACAGUUGCACUUGGCCAGAGUGAACUCCUGGCCCCAGUGAGCAAAACACCCUCCUUUUUAGUGCAAAUCUUGCUGUAAAACAAGGCUUUUGCUGAAUAGAAAAUAUAAGAAGCAACCUGCCAGCAUCUGUAGACUUCUAAACAGAUGCCAAAUAAAAAAAAAUAAA